Molecule: long non-coding RNA, 4120 nt
Organism: Pezoporus occidentalis (night parrot)
Lineage: Eukaryota; Metazoa; Chordata; Aves; Psittaciformes; Psittacidae
Exons: 2
Source: RefSeq, a predicted model, not a curated record
AAUUGGCAAAGGAAAUGAGAUUUUCCUCCUACAGCCAUGAAAUACCUUGAUUAUAUUUCAGGAAUUGCUACAUGACAUUUUAAUCUUCUGGCUUUACAGCAGUGGCUAAUCCUGAAUGGCUGAAAGAAGUUGAAAUUGCAGCAAUCUGUAGUCAGUAGCUUCUCCCACCUCACUGAACUGUGGUUCCUGAAGUGUCCAACCAAGGUAAAUAUGAUAGUUCUCCCACUUCAGACUGGAACCUGUGUCUGGACUCAUCAGCUCACAGGAGUCCCUGUCCCCCACAGAAAUUUUAUGCCCUUGAUUUUUAUCAGCUAGGAUGACUUCCUGGAGACCAUCACUUCAGUGACAAGACUGAGGGAGAAGUGCAAGCAGAUUCCGCCUCCUCUAAAUGGACACAGAGCACUUAAUGGCAUCCUUCAGUUUCCGCCAGUGAUGGUUACGGAGCUCCAUGUGAACUAAAAAAUGCAUCUUUCUGUACUCUUCCCUCAUACCACAUAUUCCUGGAGAGUCAUCUCUCCACACUUGGGAUGUAACAGUACAUCUCACUGUGGAGCUCCCUGACCACACUGACCAGUGGCUUGAGCUUGCUGCCCAGAUUAUUAAGAGGCUUGGGUCUCUGGUACCUGCAGCCUGGUAGACGGCCGGAGAGGAGGGAAAGGCAUGCUCCCAGCAAGGUGCCCUUCGGUGGGGCUGCUCUAAUGAGCCAGCUUUGUUAUCUGCCUUGCUGCUGGUCCCAGAGAGGCUUGCAGGGACGUCUGCUGUUUUACCUUCUUAAAAGGCACCAAAUGAUGACAGUUAAGAGCCUACCAGGAGGAAAUGAGCUCUUAGGGCAGUGUUUCAUGUCUUGCUUGCAAGGCUUUAUUGGAUUAACUUUGUACUAGAACCACCAUACACUCCCCUUGCAGGAGAGGCUGAAAAAGCUUAACUGUGGGAUAAAAGCUUUACAGCCGUAUUUUUGUCAAACAGGUGACUUACAUAAAAAUAUCUUUACAUGCAUUAAUGUAAAGUUUUGGCAAGGCCGCAAAGCAGGCUGCUCCUCAAUGAUCUUUGCCUUAAUGCUCCGCUCAGCCCAGUGUUAGGCAUUGUAACUCUCUUGCUUUGCUUCUUAUUUUCCACAUUAUGGACAGUGUAUUUCCUCUCCUGCACACCCCUUGCAAAUGUAGAGGUUCUGUGAGAGAAACACCUGGUGCUACUGUCACUAUUCAAGGAGUGCCUUUUUCCUCUGUGGGUACCUGCUGCUUGGCAGCUCCAGCUGGGCAGCACUGCCAGCCUGGGUGAGGAAGACUUUCAUACUUUCAGCUACUUCCCCAUUAUUUACACAUGAAGUUAAUAACUGACUCAAGAGUUGAUCUACAAGUAUAUUUUCAGGGCCAUUCUUGGUAAAUUUUUACCCUCUCAGCCACAAAGCUCUUGUUUUUUGUAAUUUCCUUCCUGUAUUUUCCCUUAACCCUAAUACAUUAAUGUGUUAGUUUUGAAACAGCCGGUGUAUUCUCUCCCUCUUCUUCUCCCUUGCCUUCUGAUUCUUUUUUUCACUGUCCUCUAUCUCUACUUCUGUUGUUUGCAGAAAACGGCUUUUCUCCUCCCUCUCCCUCUUCACAGCUCCCACCAUCUGUCUCUCUACAAAUACAAAGCUUUAGGGGAAAUGAUUCACUAGGCUGCUAGCUCAUUACUCACACUCUGCCCAUCAUGGUUUCUGUCCUUGUAGGAUGCUCUUAACUAAUGUAAAGAUCGAUGAAUCCUGGGAAUUGUUAUUCAAUUAAAACAAAUAAUACCCCAGCAGUUAAAUAGAUUGGGCUUUUUGUACUUCUUAAACACCAAUGCUUAGUUUUUCUUCCUCACUCUGCUAGCAUUGUUUUUUCAGAAAAGGAUCACUGAAACAGAAGAAUACAAAUGAUCACUGGACCAUUUAAUGCAACCUUGUGUAUCACAUGAUGCAGGAGUUACUUAAUGAAAUUCCCUGGCCCAAACCAAGCAAAUCUGUGAUAAAUCUAGAGCACAUAUUUUAGGAUGACAGCCAAAAUGAUGAAAGGAAUUUACUACCCAGCCUGGCUAAUCAUUUUGAAUGCUUAACUGCACUCCCAAAUAUGCUGUUUUGCAAGGAGGAAACCUGACACAGCCGCAUUCCCUAUAGAUUUUCCUCCUACAGCCUCUCCCAGGCUGUGCACCCCAAAAGCCCCCUGACCCCCUGCCAGCACUGUCCAGGGGCAGGGUGGCCAGCUGUGACUCUGUGAGCUGUAGCUGGCCAGCUGCCCACCUCUGGGAAGAGACCUCCACAGGCCUCAACCACCACUGCCUCUUCCACAGCAUGAGGGCUUGGGGCUAGGUCUUUGCUCAGGUAAUUAUUUCCAUGAAGCUCAUUCAUAGGCAUUUAAUGUCUUUGAGCUUCUCCCUAUUAAAUGUGAUAGAGAUUGGCUGAGGGACUCAGAAGCCAUUUGAGGUAGACUAGUUCACAGUCUUAAAACACUUCAAACACCAGAGAAAGCCGUAUUGAGUUGGCAGGUAUGACACAGCAUCUCAGGAGUCUUGCUUAACCUGGAGGCUGAGCUCAACACUGUAGGGCAUUUCAAGUGACCCUAAAUGUUGAUGUUUAGGUACCCACGUCCCAUUCCUUUUGUCUUCACUUUGUUGACCUUUUAAGAAGGAUUUCUGUCACGAUUUCAGGCUUGUAAACCACAGACUAGAAAGUUAUUUUCUUAAUUGGAAGUUUAGGUUUUCAUUUAUCACAUAGAAAAUGGACCUCUUCACCCCACAUGCAAGUAAGUAACAAGAAGUAUCACUACCCAACCCAACUUUAUUGUGCCUUGUCAGGAAGCUGCUGGCAAUGUCAGGUAUGAACCUAUUUCAGUUGUUGAGCUUCCCUUUAGAAACUGGAGUUGUAAGAAAUAUCUGCAAAUAUCACAAUCAAAAUUGUAAGAAUUGACAACACUGGACACACCCUGUCCCAGUUCCCUUAAAUGGCUGCAACUCUUUAUGCAGAACCCUGCUAAAGGAAAAUGUGAGUAUAUCUGCAAUGUGGUUCUUCAGGUUUUUUUUUCAUGAGCACCACAAAGCACGCCCUGUAUCAACACACCACACUGCCACCACCUUCAUGGAAAGCUAAUUAAAUGUUUCAGGUAAUGUAGCAGGAGUAUUAAUUUCUUGGCUGAUUUACUUUUUGGACUACCAAGCACAUGUACUUUUUUAUAAAGCUGUGUUUGGGUCAUUCUAUAACAAAAAUAAAGCUGAGGAGGAUCUUUGGAACGAGCCUGCAUUGAGCAGGCGUGAAGUGCUCUGUGUCAGAGCAGGACAACUACUCUAAAGAAUAAGGGCUGCAGAAUUUUCAGCCAACAGGGUCCACUGUUACCUCAGUGUGGUUAAGGCAGUUUUUUAAAGAAGAGCCCUCACCAAAGUCAUACUUAUGUGCUCUGUAAAAUAAAAAGUUCAAAUUUUAGCAGAUGUGGUGUUGUUGAGCCUUCCACGGUUGCCAAUACCCCGUGGCCCUCCAACAUCUUUGAGUAUUUUAUUGUUCCACACUCCAUACAAGUUGUAAGUGUCAAUGUUACUUCUCUCAACAAUUGCUGGCUUUCCAAAUGCCAGUUGUCCUUUGACAUGCUCUGUUUUAAAUAAGGGCUGAAGAGCAGUAAUGAAGCUAGAGGCCUGCUGUAAAAAAUACUGCAGCGUUCCAUGGUACUGACAGCACACAUGUAGUCAUGCGUUUUGCUCUCCAUUUGUGGCCUAUUGCUGCAACACACUGAAGGUGUUCGGGGCCAAGCUGUGAGGAAAUGGAGCUCCAGAGAUUUCAGAUCUGAGAGUCCUCUAAUUGAAGACAGUAUCUUUAUGCAAGACAGGCUAAGGCAAACUUGUGUUACCCAACAGUUACCAUUCCUCUGUUGUUCCCAGCAAUAAUAAAAACUGACACGAUAUAUAGGGUUCCCUUACAAAAGGCAAAUAUAUUUAAUAGUGUAUAUACAAAUUAACUAUUCAAUAACGCUAUACAAGGCAGGAAUAUCUUUAAAGAAACCCUGAGCAAAGAGAAGGAUGUAAUUUUUAUUUUACACUUAUUGCAACAUUAUUUCUGGUAUUUGUUUGCUAUAUCGACUAAUAAAGGAAUAUGUUAAAAACAGAUGUUAAAAUAAAACUG